Macadamia integrifolia is the source of this 538-nucleotide long non-coding RNA. RefSeq lists it as uncharacterized. The transcript is spliced from 2 exons. The record is from RefSeq and is a predicted model, not a curated record. NCBI's taxonomy places the organism in Eukaryota, Viridiplantae, Streptophyta, Magnoliopsida, Proteales, Proteaceae.
CAAGAUCUAUUCUUUCCAAUCAUUUCCAUCAUUUUUAAGGGCAUCAGAUACAGGCUGUUCAUGACUAUCUUGAUGGGAAGAGCCAUCAGUAUUUAGCAUUUGUAGCCAGAAGUGUGGAGCAACCAAAGAUGUGGAUCUUGUGCUUUCUUGAUCAAGACCAUUGAUGCGGACCUUAUGUACGGAGCUAGAUCCAGAUGCUUUAGGGAGGAGUUCAAUGAACAUGCUAUUAGACUGAAUGAUGUCUAUAAUUGUCAGAAGAGACUUCAUAUGUGUCGACCAUCAAAUCCCUCGUCACUGUUGAUGCAGUUGAAGAAUGUAGCUGAGAAGGACAAAGGAAGAAUCGGAGUUAACUAACCCAAGUUUAGCUUGUUUGGAAACAUAAGCAUCACAAUGAUAUGCCAAGUAGUUGUAGAAGCGGAUAAAACUAAUAGUCUCCAAGAUUAUUGCAAUUUUAGGUGCUUGAAAUAGUGGAACACGGUUGUUGAUAUACUCAUAUUCAAGUUUGUGUGAAGAAAUACUUUUAACAGUUGUGGACCAA